Molecule: ribosomal RNA, 468 nt
Filed under: uncultured bacterium
Lineage: Bacteria
Description: partial 16S ribosomal RNA
Rfam family: Bacterial small subunit ribosomal RNA
Source: RNAcentral
GACGAACGCUGGCGGCGUGCUUAACACAUGCAAGUCGAACGGAAAGGCCCUGCUUUUGUGGGGUGCUCGAGUGGCGAACGGGUGAGUAACACGUGAGUAACCUGCCCUGGACUUUGGGAUAACUUCAGGAAACUGGGGCUAAUACCGGAUAGGAGCUCCUGCUGCAUGGUGGGGGUUGGAAAGUUUCGGUGGUUGGGGAUGGACUCGCGGCUUAUCAGCUUGUUGGUGGGGGAGUGGCUUACCAAGGCUUUGACGGGUAGCCGGCCUGAGAGGGUGACCGGCCCCAUUGGGACCGAGCUACGGCCCAGACUCCUACAGGAGGCAGCAGUGGGGAAUAUUACACAAUGGGCGGAAGCCUGCUGCAGCAACGCCGCGUGCGGGAUGACCGCCUUCGGGUUGUAAACCGCUUUCGCCUGUGACGAAGCGUGAGUGACGGUAAUGAGUAAAGAAGCACCGGCUAACUACGUG